AGUGAACGCUGGCGGUAGGCCUAACACAUGCAAGUCGAACGGCAGCACAGGAGAGCUUGCUCUCUGGGUGGCGAGUGGCGGACGGGUGAGGAAUACAUCGGAAUCUACUCUGUCGUGGGGGAUAACGUAGGGAAACUUACGCUAAUACCGCAUACGACCUACGGGUGAAAGCAGGGGACCUUCGGGCCUUGCGCGAUUGAAUGAGCCGAUGUCGGAUUAGCUAGUUGGCGGGGUAAAGGCCCACCAAGGCGACGAUCCGUAGCUGGUCUGAGAGGAUGAGCAGCCACACUGGAACUGAGACACGGUCGAGACUCAUACGGGAGGCAGCAGUGGGGAAUAUUGGACAAUGGGCGCAAGCCUGAUCCAGCCAUACCGCGUGGGUGAAGAAGGCCUUCGGGUUGUAAAGCCCUUUUGUUGGGAAAGAAAUCCAGCUGGCUAAUACCCGGUUGGGAUGACGGUACCCAAAGAAUAAGCACCGGCUAACUUCGUGCCAGCCGCCGCGGUAA
RNAcentral lists this ribosomal RNA (506 nucleotides) under uncultured bacterium. RNAcentral's name for it is "partial 16S ribosomal RNA". It matches the Rfam family "Bacterial small subunit ribosomal RNA", at positions 29 to 523 of the family's 1533-position model. The record is from RNAcentral.